This 748-nucleotide ribosomal RNA is filed under the name uncultured cyanobacterium. Its description in RNAcentral is "bacterial SSU rRNA". It matches the Rfam family "Bacterial small subunit ribosomal RNA", at positions 8 to 796 of the family's 1533-position model. Lineage: Bacteria; Bacillati; Cyanobacteriota. The record is from RNAcentral.
AGAGUUUGAUCCUGGCUCAGGAUGAACGCUGGCGGUCUGCUUAACACAUGCAAGUCGAACGAAUCCCUUCGGGGAUUAGUGGCGGACGGGUGAGUAACGCGUGAGAAUCUACCAAAAGGACUGGGACAACCACUGGAAACGGUGGCUAAUACCGGAUGAGCCGCAACGUAAAAGAGGAAACUCGCCUUUUGAAGAGCUCGCGUCUGAUCAGCUAGUUGGUGAGGUAAAGGCUCACCAAGGCGGCGAUCAGUAGCUGGUCUGAGAGGAUGAUCAGCCACACUGGGACUGAGACACGGCCCAGACUCCUACGGGAGGCAGCAGUGGGGAAUUUUCCGCAAUGGGCGAAAGCCUGACGGAGCAAGACCGCGUGAGGGAGGAAGGCUCUUGGGUUGUAAACCUCUUUUGUCAGGGAAGAACACAAUGACGGUACCUGAAGAAUCAGCAUCGGCUAACUCCGUGCCAGCAGCCGCGGUAAUACGGAGGAUGCAAGCGUUAUCCGGAAUUAUUGGGCGUAAAGCGUCCGCAGGUGGCACUUCAAGUCUGCUGUCAAAGACCGGGGCUUAACCCUGGAAAGGCAGUGGAAACUGAAGCGCUAGAGUGUGGCAGGGGUAGAGGGAAUUCCCGGUGUAGCGGUGAAAUGCGUAGAGAUCGGGAAGAACAUCGGUGGCGAAAGCGCUCUACUGGGCCACAACUGACACUCAGGGACGAAAGCUAGGGGAGCGAAUGGGAUUAGAUACCCCCGUAGUCC